CAGGUUUAAAGGGCACUGCGCAUGCGCCUCCUUCCUUACACUGCUCUGUGUGUGUGAAUGGGUCGCGGUGGUAGAUAAAGAACCAAAACACACACUCUGACUCUUUAAAUCCGGUUCCGUUAAAACCGAGAUCACUUCACGAACCCUUUAAACAUCCUGAAAUCACUAGACCGGAAGUGAGGGAUUCUGUGGAAACCGGUAGUUCUUUCACAGACCGUCUACUCCACUCUAGCAGGACUGGAGACAGGCUCCACAGCAGCAACAACAUGAUGGUGAGGCACUUGUACUUUUUGAAGAAUAAGGAUUUUUUUCCCUUUGGUUACAUUAAUCAAUUUAUAUGGUUAAUUAAUCAAUUAUGAAUAGAUAAUAUUUAUGAAGUUCUGCAUAUGAAUUUGUUGGUAAGACUACAAAAUAAUUAUUUAGCUUAAUGGUUAUGUAUUAGCUUGGUAUGUUUGGAAAUAAAAUGACAAUGCUGAUGAAUAAAUGCUAUAAAUAUG
Long non-coding RNA from Ictalurus punctatus (channel catfish), 497 nucleotides. The record is from Ensembl. NCBI's taxonomy places the organism in Eukaryota, Metazoa, Chordata, Actinopteri, Siluriformes, Ictaluridae.